Molecule: microRNA precursor, 157 nt
Filed under: Pelobates cultripes (western spadefoot toad)
Lineage: Eukaryota; Metazoa; Chordata; Amphibia; Anura; Pelobatidae
Source: RNAcentral
GCAGAUGCAUUCCAGCCAAUCAGCAGCAGACCCUCUCUCCCAGACCCUCCCACCUCCUGGACAGCUCACUAAGAAUGCAGCUUCAAAAUGGAUGCUGUCCAGGAGGUGGGAGGGUCUGGGAGGGAGGGUCUGCUGCUGAUUGGCUGGAAUGUGUCUG